GGAGGGUGCAAGCGUUAAUCGGAAUCACUGGGCGUAAAGCGCACGUAGGCGGCUUGGUAAGUCAGGGGUGAAAUCCCACAGCCCAACUGUGGAACUGCCUUUGAUACUGCCAGGCUUGAGUACCGGAGAGGGUGGCGGAAUUCCAGGUGUAGGAGUGAAAUCCGUAGAUAUCUGGAGGAACACCGGUGGCGAAGGCGGCCACCUGGACGGUAACUGACGCUGAGGUGCGAAAGCGUGGGUAGCAAACAGGAUUAGAUACCCUGGUAGUCCACGCUGUAAACGAUGGGUGCUGGGUGCUGGGAUGUAUGUCUCGGUGCCGUAGCUAACGCGAUAAGCACCCCGCCUGGGGAGUACGGUCGCAAGGCUG
This 367-nucleotide ribosomal RNA is filed under the name uncultured Bilophila sp. Its description in RNAcentral is "bacterial SSU rRNA". It matches the Rfam family "Bacterial small subunit ribosomal RNA", at positions 527 to 896 of the family's 1533-position model. Lineage: Bacteria; Pseudomonadati; Thermodesulfobacteriota; Desulfovibrionia; Desulfovibrionales; Desulfovibrionaceae. The record is from RNAcentral.